This is a non-coding RNA of Elaeis guineensis (African oil palm), 1444 nucleotides long. NCBI's taxonomy places the organism in Eukaryota, Viridiplantae, Streptophyta, Magnoliopsida, Arecales, Arecaceae. The record is from RefSeq and is a predicted model, not a curated record.
UCUUCCCAUCCUUCUAUAUAUUUCUCCUCUCUUCACCCCCAAACCCCUCUCAAAGCCUCUGCCUAAUAAACAAUAUUAAUUGCCUUCUCUUUCAUACUCCUCUCCUCUCCUCCUCUAUACUAAGAACCUUUCAUGGAGUGCAUGGCUUCUUUUGGUGCACCACAAGUUGCUGAAGCUGCCAGCAUGAUCUGAUCCCUUCUCUAUUCUCGUAUUCUUUAUUUUCAAGAGGAAGCCCAUCAGAUCAUCUGGCAGUUUCAUCUACUGAUGGGAGCACAAAGAAACCCUAACCCUGAUGCCCACCUGCUCGCUAGGCUUUCAUGAAGGCCCCUAGGGGGAGAAGCUGAAAGUUUGUCUGCUACGAGGAGGACUGGGAGAAUCUUAUGAAACGAAUAGGAUUUCAGUUUUUUUGGAGCGGAGGGCACGGCUUUGGGCUCGGGGAAUGGAGCUACACAAACUUCUAUAAGUGCAGGGCAAUACUGUACUGAUCAGUGCAGCACAGGGGCUCAGUACACUCCUGCGGACACUCAGCAUAGAUGCAAUGCUGAUUCCAGUAAUGUACCAUGUGAUAUAUCAUCUUGUAUCAGUAAGGUGUAACAUGGGACCUGAUAUCAAGACUUAAGACCUUGCCUAGGAGGGUAUGGAGUAACUUCAAAAUAUUAUACUAGAUAUUCUCAAUUGAACUCCAUAUAUUGAUAAGAAGGCUAUAUAUAUGUAAAGAAGUACUUUAUCAUUAGAAAUCAAGUCUGCAUUAAAGCUCCAAAAAUGGGAAACAGACAAACAGUUUUCAAUCAUAUGCUGUUUGUAUUUAGAAGUUGGAUCAUACAGAAUUACUUGUUAAUAUAGUCAAUAACAUUUAAAUGUACACAUAUGCUGAAAACGAUAUGAAAACCUGUAAAAGAUGAUCCUCAGUGGCUUUUGCCCGGUAGCUUUCCUGAAGGAUAUUAAGAGAUCCCUGCAGUAUAUUAAAAGAAAGCAUAUCAGGAAGAAAAAUUUCUGUUGGAAGUUUAGCAUAAAGAGAGGAAAGCCCUGAAUCAGUUAUCCUCAACAAAAGAAUAAAACUUCAUCAGAUGAUGAUGGAAUGGUUAUGGAACAGCAACCAGAAAAGCUGGUAUCAGCUGAAUCACAGUAAUGAAAAUUGAAUAACCUCUCAGUAAAGAUACUUCCAGAAGAUCAUAUAAAUAUGGUGUACUUAAACUGGAUCAAGGUAUGCCUUACCAUACCAAACCAGAUGGUAUGGGCCAUGGGGUAUACCAUACAGUACCAGUUCGGUGUUGAUACAUAAUAUAGGAGGUGUACCAAGUGUCGGGACUCCAAACCGGCCUCCAUACCAGGUGUACCAAUAUAGCAAUGGGGUGCCACCGGUCCAGGGCCCGAUAUCGAGAUGGCAUACCUUGACUGAAUCUAUCUAACUCCGUCUUAGCUAAGAAAGCCUACUUACCGAAUC